GAUCAGUGAAAACCACGUGAUCAUCCACGAGUGCGGUGCAGAGUCGCUGAGAUAACCGGAACUGCAGAUGCUGGAGAAUCCGAGAUAACACGGUGUGCAGCUGGAUGUGCACAGCAGGUCAAGCAGCAUCAGAGGAGCAGGAAAGCUGAUGUUUCGGGCCUAGAUCCUUCGCUGAGACCAAGAUUUGUGCAAUUGAGAUACCAGCGAUCGUUGCCAAAGCCCUGUUACCUGUGGGGAAGGUGAUGUUUAACUUUCGUGUGCUACUGCAGUUUGUAUGAUAAAGGUGCUCUCACAAUGCUCCAUUUGAGAAGUUACAGAUCAUUCAUCUAGCGAUACUGAAGAGCUAAUGGUGAUAUUACAAGUGGACUUUCAGGUAGGAAGCUCAAUAAUUGUAACACCAAACUCUGACAGAAUUACUCAAUUCAUCAGGACCUGGAUAUUCGCAUUGUGUGUGAGUAUUGUGUUCCUGCUCAUUCCCAUUUGCCAUGUAAAAUUUCUCUCUUAUUACUCCAUUCUCUCAAUAGAUCUUUCCUACAACUUUCAAUAUAUGUCCUGUAGUCCUUUUUAUGGCCAGUUGAGUGUACGUUUUACCAUUCUAAUGUUUAUCUUUUGUAAACACCUCCUAUCAAAGGUCCCCUCAAAAUCCUUUGUUACAAGGAGAUCAAUCUCAGUUUCCCCAAGCACCUGAUUACCGAAUGACAGUUUGCUUCUUGUGUGUAAGGCACUCAUCCACUUUUCACUUCCACUUCCCUGCAUGA
Long non-coding RNA from Stegostoma tigrinum, 758 nucleotides. RefSeq lists it as uncharacterized. The transcript is spliced from 3 exons. Lineage: Eukaryota; Metazoa; Chordata; Chondrichthyes; Orectolobiformes; Stegostomatidae. The record is from RefSeq and is a predicted model, not a curated record.